RNAcentral lists this long non-coding RNA (1956 nucleotides) under Amborella trichopoda. Its description in RNAcentral is "long non-coding RNA (ATRI_LNC004442)". Lineage: Eukaryota; Viridiplantae; Streptophyta; Magnoliopsida; Amborellales; Amborellaceae. The record is from RNAcentral.
UUUUAUUUUUUCUAAUUUUUUACAACAGUAUUUUCUGCCUUUGUUUAUUUUUGCUGUCAAAAAUGUUUUUCAUGCUUUUUGUUUUAUUUUUUUUGCAAAAAAUAAUUUUUAUAUUACCUUGUAUUUUUUUACAAGAAAAAUAAAAAAAUGUUGUAUUAUAUUUUUUAUCUUUAUCAUGAAAAGCUUUUUAUUUUUUAUUUUUUAUGUUUUUUUUACAACAAGAAAAGCUUUUUAUUUUUUCUAUUUUAUUUCAAGCUUUUUAUUCAUUAUCUUUCAAAGCUUUUUAUUUUCUAUCUUUAUCUCUUUUUUUUAUCUUUAUCUUAAAAAAAUGUUGUAUUAUAUAAAUGACGACACGUGGGGGGUUCGAACUCGAACUCAAGACGCCCAUCUGAAAUUCAAGGUUGUCAACCAAUACCACCACAUCGCUUGAUGUGAUUCAUUAGCUUUUAUAAUAUAAUACAUAUUCAAUCAUCUUGCUGGAAUGGUUUUUUGUGGGAAUUAUCCCACAUCAAAGGAUGAAUGACCAUUUGUUCUCUAGAAAAUGUUGUGUACUAGUCCAUCACCAGCACGUAUAGAAAAGAGAUAAAAUGUUGUGUACUAGUCCAUCAGCUGCGCAUCUAGAAAAGAGAGGGGGCAUACAAGUGAGGUGAAUUAACACAUGCGGAAGAUUUUUAAGUGCCACGCCUCACGAGCCACGCUUCACUCUCGUGAGGUGAAUUAACACAUGUGGAAAAUUUUUAAGUGGCACGCCUCACAAGCCACGCCUCACUCUCGUGAGGUGAAUUAACACAUGUGGAAGAUUUUUAAGUGCCACGCCUCACUCUCGUGAGGCUGCCACGUGUCACUCUCGGUGAGACUCGCGAUUCACUAUUGGGAAUCGCAUGGAAUCGCCCAGGUUUCUCUGGACACGAGCGAUUCUCGAUUUUUUCGUAGAAUCGACUCGGUAUCAGACGAUUUUCGAGUAGAACCGAACGAGUCCGACUCGACUCGACGACUUUUUAAACACCGGUUUAGGGUCUUGGCCUUAUACAAACCGCACCCUAUUUUAAACCCUAACAUUAAUCCAUCAUCUAUUCCAAAUAACCGGAACAAUCAUCUAUAUUUUAGUAUGCAAGCCCCAAAAUCACAACCCAAAACUUCAUAUUUUAAAUUUAGAAACCCACGCAAUCUUUUAUUUUUAUUUUUUUUGGGUAGGUGAACCAAUACAAUACCCAAAUUUCAUGCCCGAAAUUUAGACCCCAAUACCCAAAUUUCAUGCCCGAAAUCACUCAAAAAAAGAGGAAGAAGAAGCUAAAUGGAUCUCCUGAGCGAAAACCAUAUAAAGAAUUUGGAAACCACCCCAAAAAUCUAAAUCCCCAAUACCAAAACCAUAAGAUAAGAUAAAAAUAAAAUAAGAAAUUCCAUUAAUUUUACCUGAACUCUUCUACCGGAUAUGACGGGUUUUGCUCUAGCAAAAAUGUAUUCACCCAACGGAGCUGCUCUCAAAUGGUUAAUAUUGAGUUCGAUCCCUGAAGUUCUCCGAAACCCUGAAGCCACAUGGGCUCCCAUGCUCGCAAGUCCUUCACAAAUUAGGGCGGAGACACCGCCAUGAAGGACCUUGAAGGGCUGGCAGCAAGUUUCAGUCACUCGGAAGCGACCGGAAACUUGUUCCGGCGAAACGAUCUCGACGGCGAAACCGAAAAUUUUGAGGGCUGAAUCAGGGGAGUUGAUGAGGAACCCAACUUCUUUAAGCUCGCCUGAUAAAUAAGAUCGGGUGAAAGAGUCAGCAGUCAUAUUGGGUUGCUUCUCUCUCCUCUUUUCCUGGUUUUCCUCUCUCCUCUCUGUCCUGAGGAGUUAAUUUUUGCCUCACUCUUCCUUUUCUCUCUCCUCUUUACUAAUUCUCUCUCUCUCUCUUAACUCUGCCUCUCUCUCCUUUUUCCAUAUUGUCCUCACUCUUCCUUUUCUCUCUCCUCUNNN